CCUUUGGUGGGGCGGGAUGGAGCACACUAACACCAGACAGACAGAGAGAAGUGAAUACUAUUAGGAAAGGUUUCAAUCCUAUAGCGAAUUGUAACAAGCGUAGAAGUGAGGGCAGAGAGAGGGAUUGAGAAUUUGAGAUGGAAUUAGAACCUUUACCGGGGCGGGAUGGAGCACACUAACACCAGACAGACAGAGAGAAGUGAAUACCAUUAGGAAAGGUUUCAAUCCUAUAGCGAACUAGAAACAAGCGUAGAAGUGAGGGCAAGAGAGAUUCAAACCCAGAGAUGGAAUUAGAACCUUUACCGGGGCAGGAUGGAGCACACUAACAUCAGACAGACAGACAGAUAGAGAGAGAAACAAAGAACCUUAGGAAAGACUUUUAACCUACUCUAAACUACUAAAUAACUAAGAAUAAAGUUGAAAUACCGAAAGGAAAGUUGGAAAUCAUUGAAAUAUAGUUGAUUUUGAGGGUUACAAGGUGGAGAUCAAAGUAUAUGAGGCUGGGAUCGUAAAGGAAAGGUUAAAUAAGGGAAGGUUUAGGUAGGAAGUUAGGUAAAAUAUAAGGUUUGUGAGGUUGAGGAAAGGUAAGGUAAGGUAAGGUAGGGAUUAACUAACUAUGGUAGAACAAGAUAAAUAAGUAAAUACCAAUAUAUUUGAGGCUUGGCUGUGACGUGGUGUGCUGUAUUGUCUGUUAAUGGUUGAAAUGGGUGUUUUAAGGGGUGGUAAGGGGUCUGUAGGCUGUAACGGGGUAAUGGGGUUGUUAGUGGGUUAUAGAAGAAGGGGUUGAAGGGGUUGUCUGUACGUGGGUUGUGUGAGGUUGUGAGAAAAUGGGGAAGGUUUAAAUGGGUUGUGAGUAGAAUGAGUUGAUGGGUUUGUUUUGAGAUAUGGAAGGUGUUAGAAAGAAAGAAAGGAAUUGAAGAGGGUAGGGAGAGAGACGAAGAAGGGAAGAAAGAAAUGGAAGAGAUAAUAAAGAGAGAAAUGAUAACAAAGGAAUGGUAGAGAGAAAUAGAAAGAAAGAGAGAAUUUGGGGUUACAGAAAUAGAUCAAGAAAUAAAGAAACGUACGAGACAAGAAAGAGAAAGAAGAAGUUAGAGAAAGAGACAAAGAAAGGAAGAUAAAGGAAAGAAAGAAAUUAGAGGAGUUAGAGAAAUAGAUCAAGAAUUAAAGAAAGAAAUUAAAACCAAACAAAGAGAAAAGGAAAUAAAGAAAGAAAUGAAAAGAUUCGAAACAAAGAAAAGGAAAAAAAAGGAGAGAUUAGAGAAACAAACAAAAAAAACGGAGGAGACUAGAGAGAGAGAGAGAGAGAGAGAGAGAGAGAGAGAGAGAGAGAGAGAGAGAGAGAAACUGAAUAAAGAAAGACAAACAGAUGAGGAGAAAGAAAGAAAACAA
Molecule: long non-coding RNA, 1389 nt
Organism: Eriocheir sinensis (Chinese mitten crab)
Lineage: Eukaryota; Metazoa; Arthropoda; Malacostraca; Decapoda; Varunidae
Exons: 2
Source: RefSeq, a predicted model, not a curated record